CCUGAACGCUGGCGGCGUGGCUAAGACAUGCAAGUCGCACGGAGCCGGGUAGCAAUACCCGGUUUAGUGGCGAACGGGUGAGUAAUGAAUCGCUAAUGUACCCCGGAUUCUGGGAUAGCCAGUCGAAAGGCUGGGUAAUACCAGAUGAUAUAACCGCUUCGCAUGAAGUGGUUCUCAAAGGAGCAAUCCGCUCUGGGAGCAGGCGAUUUCGUAUCAGCUUGNGGUGAGGUAACGGCUCACCAAGGCGACGACGCGUAGCCGGACUGAGAGGUUGGCCGGCCACAUUGGGACUGAGACACUGCCCAGACUCCGUACGGGGGCUGCAGUAACGAAUCUUCCGCAAUGCACGAAAGUGUGACGGAGCGACGCCGCGUGU
This 376-nucleotide ribosomal RNA is filed under the name uncultured bacterium. RNAcentral's name for it is "bacterial SSU rRNA". It matches the Rfam family "Bacterial small subunit ribosomal RNA", at positions 30 to 404 of the family's 1533-position model. The record is from RNAcentral.